This 253-nucleotide ribosomal RNA is filed under the name [Clostridium] leptum DSM 753. RNAcentral describes it as "partial 16S ribosomal RNA". It matches the Rfam family "Bacterial small subunit ribosomal RNA", at positions 524 to 776 of the family's 1533-position model. The record is from RNAcentral. RNAcentral also lists the same sequence under 2 other names. Lineage: Bacteria; Bacillati; Bacillota; Clostridia; Eubacteriales; Oscillospiraceae.
UACGUAGGGAGCGAGCGUUGUCCGGAUUUACUGGGUGUAAAGGGUGCGUAGGCGGCGAGGCAAGUCAGGCGUGAAAUCUAUGGGCUUAACCCAUAAACUGCGCUUGAAACUGUCUUGCUUGAGUGAAGUAGAGGUAGGCGGAAUUCCCGGUGUAGCGGUGAAAUGCGUAGAGAUCGGGAGGAACACCAGUGGCGAAGGCGGCCUACUGGGCUUUAACUGACGCUGAAGCACGAAAGCAUGGGUAGCAAACAGG